CUCAGGGAGGUAGUGACAAGAAAUAACAACACUGGAAAUUUUAUUUCUAGUGAUUGGAAUGAUGGGAAUUUAAACCCCUUUCAGAGUAACAAUUGGAGGGCAAGUCUGGUGCCAGCAGCCGCGGUAAUUCCAGCUCCAAUAGCGUAUAUUAAAGUUGUUGCAGUUAAAAAGCUCGUAGUUGGAUGUCUGCUGGAAGCAAUCAGUCCGCCCUAUUUGUAGGGUGUGCACUUGAUGAAUUCUGGCAUCUAUAUGUCCCAAUGUGAUAUACGCGAUGGUGUUAUUAAUAUAUAGGUUAAUCCUGUAUAUUAUAUACCCAUUUGUGUAAUAUUGGGAUAAUACCGUUACUUUGAGAAAAUUAGAGUGUUUGAGGCAGGCUAAUUGCCUUGAAUACUGCAGCAUGGAAUAACAAUAUAGGAUUUCGGUUCUAUUUUGUUGGUUUCUAGGACUGAAAUAAUGAUUAAUAGGGACAGUUGGGGGCAUUCGUAUUUAACCGUCAGAGGUGAAAUUCUUAGAUUUGUUAAAGACGAACUACUGCGAAAGCAUUUGCCAAAGAUGUUUUCAUUAAUCAAGAACGAAAGUUAGGGGCUCGAAGACGAUCAGAUACCGUCGUAGUCUUAACCAUAAACUAUGCCGACUAGAGAUAGGAAACUGUCAUUUUUCUGACUU
RNAcentral lists this ribosomal RNA (666 nucleotides) under Sarcocystis sp. Its description in RNAcentral is "SSU rRNA". It matches the Rfam family "Eukaryotic small subunit ribosomal RNA", at positions 455 to 1077 of the family's 1831-position model. The record is from RNAcentral. Lineage: Eukaryota; Apicomplexa; Conoidasida; Eucoccidiorida; Sarcocystidae.